RNAcentral lists this ribosomal RNA (287 nucleotides) under uncultured Pseudomonas sp. RNAcentral's name for it is "partial 16S ribosomal RNA". It matches the Rfam family "Bacterial small subunit ribosomal RNA", at positions 1100 to 1382 of the family's 1533-position model. The record is from RNAcentral. Lineage: Bacteria; Pseudomonadati; Pseudomonadota; Gammaproteobacteria; Pseudomonadales; Pseudomonadaceae.
AACCCUUGUCCUUAGUUACCAGCACGGUAAUGGUGGGAACGUCUAAGGAGACUGCCGGUGGACGAAACCGGAGGAAGGUGGGGAUGAACGUCAAGUCAUCAUGGCCCUUACGGCCAGGGCUACACACGUGCUACAAUGGUCGGUACAAAGGGUUGCCAAGCCGCGAGGUGGAGCUAAUCCCAUAAACCGAUCGUAGUCCGGAUCGCAGUCUGCAACUCGACUGCGUGAAGUCGGAAUCGCUAGUAAUCGUGAAUCAGAAUGUCACGGUGAAUACGUUCCCGGGCCUU